AGUCGAGCGGAGAUGAGGUGCUUGCACCUUAUCUUAGCGGCGGACGGGUGAGUAAUGCUUAGGAAUCUGCCUAUUAGUGGGGGACAACAUUCCGAAAGGGAUGCUAAUACCGCAUACGUCCUACGGGAGAAAGCAGGGGAUCUUCGGACCUUGCGCUAAUAGAUGAGCCUAAGUCGGAUUAGCUAGUUGGUGGGGUAAAGGCCUACCAAGGCGACGAUCUGUAGCGGGUCUGAGAGGAUGAUCCGCCACACUGGGACUGAGACACGGCCCAGACUCCUACGGGAGGCAGCAGUGGGGAAUAUUAGACAAUGGGGGGAACCCUGAUCCAGCCAUGCCGCGUGUGAAGAAGGCCUUAUGGUUGUAAAGCACUUUAAGCGAGGAGGAGGCUACUGAGACUAAUACUCUUGGAUAGUGGACGUUACUCGCAGAAUAAGCACCGGCUAACUCUGUGCCAGCAGCCGCGGUAAUACAGAGGGUGCGAGCGUUAAUCGGAUUUACUGGGCGUAAAGCGUGCGUAGGCGGCUUUUUAAGUCGGAUGUGAAAUCCCCGAGCUUAACUUGGGAAUUGCAUUCGAUACUGGGAAGCUAGAGUAUGGGAGAGGAUGGUAGAAUUCCAGGUGUAGCGGUGAAAAANUNAGGAGAUCUGGAGGAAUACCGAUGGCGAAGGCAGCCAUCUGGCCUA
This 681-nucleotide ribosomal RNA is filed under the name uncultured bacterium. RNAcentral describes it as "bacterial SSU rRNA". It matches the Rfam family "Bacterial small subunit ribosomal RNA", at positions 60 to 736 of the family's 1533-position model. The record is from RNAcentral.